This 589-nucleotide ribosomal RNA is filed under the name uncultured bacterium. RNAcentral describes it as "bacterial SSU rRNA". It matches the Rfam family "Bacterial small subunit ribosomal RNA", at positions 165 to 747 of the family's 1533-position model. The record is from RNAcentral.
AAUACCGCAUACGAUCUCUGGAUGAAAGCGGGGGACUCGCAAGAGCCUCGCGCGAUUGGAGCGGCCGAUAUCAGAUUAGCUAGUUGGCGGGGUAAAAGCCCACCAAGGCGACGAUCUGUAGCUGGUCUGAGAGGACGACCAGCCACACUGGAACUGAGACACGGUCCAGACUCCUACGGGAGGCAGCAGUGGGGAAUUUUGGACAAUGGGCGAAAGCCUGAUCCAGCAAUGCCGCGUGCAGGAUGAAGGCCUUCGGGUUGUAAACUGCUUUUGUACGGAACGAAACGGUCUGCCUUAAUACGGUGGGCUAAUGACGGUACCGUAAGAAUAAGCACCGGCUAACUACGUGCCAGCAGCCGCGGUAAUACGUAGGGUGCGAGCGUUAAUCGGAAUUACUGGGCGUAAAGCGUGCGCAGGCGGUGAUGUAAGACAGAUGUGAAAUCCCCGGGCUCAACCUGGGACCUGCAUUUGUGACUGUAUAGCUAGAGUACGGUAGAGGGGGAUGGAAUUCCGCGUGUAGCAGUGAAAUGCGUAGAUAUGCGGAGGAACACCGAUGGCGAAGGCAAUCCCCUGGACCUGUACUGACGCU